UACAGAGGGGGCAAGCGUUGUUCGGAAUUACUGGGCGUAAAGGGCGCGUAGGCGGCCUUCUAAGUCGAACGUGAAAUCCCCGGGCUCAACCCGGGAACUGCGUCCGAUACUGGAAGGCUUGAAUCCGGGAGAGGGAUGCGGAAUUCCAGGUGUAGCGGUGAAAUGCGUAGAUAUCGGGAGGAACACCAGUGGCGUAAGCGAUCACCUGGGCUAGACCUGACGCUGAGGGACGAAGGCGUGGGGAGCAAACGGG
This 253-nucleotide ribosomal RNA is filed under the name uncultured bacterium. Its description in RNAcentral is "partial 16S ribosomal RNA". It matches the Rfam family "Bacterial small subunit ribosomal RNA", at positions 524 to 776 of the family's 1533-position model. The record is from RNAcentral.